Molecule: long non-coding RNA, 707 nt
Filed under: Homo sapiens (human)
Lineage: Eukaryota; Metazoa; Chordata; Mammalia; Primates; Hominidae
Description: non-protein coding lnc-NLK-1:1
Source: RNAcentral
UCCAAAUCCUAGAAUUUUUCUUCAGAGUACAUCACAAGAAGGAACAGUCUCUUCCUUCCUAGUGGGAAAGUCAGGGUUUCUUUCAUUUCCACCUUGUUCGCUUGUAACCGCUCUCACCAGGCAAAGUUCUGAGCAAGUGAGAUGGACUCAUCUCGGAACUCCAGGCUGUGUUUACAUAAUUGGUAAAAGAAACAUUCCAAUCCCAUUCCUUCGUCAGCUCCGACAGACCAACCAGCAUCCCCCUCCCACUUGCCACUUUGAUAGGGGUGACUGGUAUCUCCAUCUCCUUAUCUUUGUUGAUCAUGUUUCUGGGUUUCCAAUUGCGUCAAUUUAACUGGUUGCCAAUAAUUCUGUCAUCUGAGGGGAAAGCAGAAUCUCAACUGAACAUGCAGAUGUCCUAUUGAGACUUUGCCCAUAAGGGAGCGUCUUUGGUGCUUAAAAUUCCAUCUUUUGGACCUCAUAUCAGUUGAUGUUUUUAGUUGCAUCGGAAACCAACUCUAAGUGAUUUAAGCAGGAGAGAAAGUUAUUUAAGGAUAUUUAUAGUUCACAGAAUCUCUGGAGGAGCGGGGGGCUAGAAAACCAGACUUGAAGACUACACAGAGAGACUCCGAGUCCCCCUGGGACUGACCUGAGAUGACCAGGGAGCUGGUAUUUUUAGCUUCCAGAGGAGCCUCAAAAUUACAGUUAAGUCUACAGUCAGACAGAAG